This 4578-nucleotide long non-coding RNA is filed under the name Ornithorhynchus anatinus (platypus). Its description in RNAcentral is "lncRNA (ENSOANG00000039027.1)". The record is from RNAcentral. Lineage: Eukaryota; Metazoa; Chordata; Mammalia; Monotremata; Ornithorhynchidae.
GCCCUUGCCUCAAGACGCCAUUACGAUCUCUUCGGAGAGACCGCCCGCAGGCCGCCCGAUCCCCCGACGCGCUUAACUCCCCCCCGCCUCCCCCUCCCAUUUACCUAGAGAUCCCGAGGGAGCGAAACUCCGACGGCUUCGAGAUAGGUGCUGGGGAGAAACGGAGGAUAAUGGCGUCUUCCGUCCUCUCGCCUCAAGCACCCUCUUCCUCUCCUCUCGCACACGCUAGUGCCGAGGGGCUAACAUCUCACGAGAUUUAAGGGAAUCUCGCGCGCUCAUGCGCGCGCAGCAAAGGGGUGGGGGAGGAGGGGUUCGAAGCCCGAGAUCUGGCGCGCCAAGGGAGAAGCCGAGGGCGCGAAAGUCGGGGAGGGAGGUGGAGGGGGGCGCGGAGGGAGCGGUCGCGGUGAGCCGAGGACGGGCCUUUGCCUGCUCCUUCCCGCACCCUCUUCCCCCUCUCUCCUCCCCCAGCGCAGUGGUGGCGGUUCUUUUCAAAUUGGAACAUUUUAAGUGCUCUCUAGGGUAUCUGAGUUCAUCACCUCUUAAUACAACGCAGAAUGGAGAUACAGCGUGAUCUAGUGGAUAGAGCCACAGGCCUGCGAGUCAUAAAGUCAUGGGUUCUAAUCCCGGCUCCACCACUUGUCUGCUCUGUGCCCUUGGGUAAGUCACGUCUUCUGCUCUGUGCCUCAGCUACCUCAUCUGUAAAAUGGGGAUUAAGCUCGUGAGCUCCACGUGGGACAGAGACUGUGUCCAACCUGACUUUUAUCCACCCCAGCGCUUAGUGGCAUAUAGUAAGCGCUUAACAAAUACCAUCAUCAUUAUUAUUAGUAGUAGUAGUGCAACUCCCUUCCCUAAAAUAAAAAUUAGCAAGUGUGUAGCAGAAGUUCAUUUGGCCUCUAUGGACCUCUGAUCGCACAUAUGUUGGAGAAGGGCGGUGGUCUACGACUCUGAUUCCACAGGAUGCGAGAAACCCUACAAUGAAAGUCCAGGUCUGGUGUCUCUCUAGAGAAAGGAAAGAGCAAUUCCUGUGCACAGGCAAGGAUGGGUUUCUCAGCUGUCUGUCGGGCUGGCAGCUCGAAAUAGCCCAACUGCUCUGCUUCAACCCCGGUGGAAGAGCACCAAAGAGCAAUGCCACACUAUUUUAAGUCAUAACGCCCACCCACACCUGUUGGAAUCGUCGUGCAACCCAGUGUACACGAUACCGACAGUUGUACACCCCUUAAUUUUAGAAUCCCCUGGUGAGUGGGUCAGAAUAUGUUUAUAAUUUACUGAUGUUAAUGUCGGUCGGGGCAGGGAACGUGCCUACCAGCUCUGUUAUAUUGUACUCUCCCAAGCACCGAGUACGGUGCUCUGCACACAGGAAACACUCAAUAAAUAUCAUUGAUUGUGAUAGGCUACUUAAUGGCCCUUGGUUCUCAUGGCCUCAUCUGAGCAUCAGAGCUGUUAAGGAAUGUUUCUCCAGGCAGCUUUUAAGUCUCAUUGUCAGGGGCCACGUACCAAACAGGGUAGAACAAUGACAUCUCUUAGGUUCUUCGAAUUCCAACCUCCCACUGCCUCCUCCUCCACCUUUCACCCCCCCCCCGACGUUUUAUUCCAGUAGCAAGUCCUCAACAGAUCAAUUCUAUUUAUUGAGUGCUUACUGUGUGCAGAGCACUGCAUUAACUGCUUGGGAGAGUAUAAUAUAACAGAGUCGGUAGACACGUCCCUGCCCACAAGGAACUUACCGGUUUCAGAUUCAAAAUCAUAUCAGGGAGGAAGGUGUUGUUUUUGUUGGCUUCUUAUUUCUGUAAAAAGGGCAACGUAUCUUUGUAUCUUAUCGUUCUUGUGGUCGUAGAGUGUGUCUGCCAACUCUGUUAUAUUGUGCUCUCCCAAGUGCUCAGGACAGUGUCCUGUACAUAGCGGUCCAUAAAUACGAUCGAUUGAUUUCCAUCUGAUUUCCAUGUCCGCAAAUAAAGAACUAUCAAAUCCACUUUGUGAGAUUGUUGAAAAGUACUCUCAGGUCAAUAAACCUGAACUUGAAGUUUAACAUUACAUGGGCUUCCAAUGAUCAUACAGUGCUAAAUACUAAUCAAGUGUAUUUAUUGAGCGUUUACUGUAUGCAGAGCACUUGGGAGAAUGCACUAUAACAGAGUUGGUAGUCACGUUCCCUGCCCACAAUGCUGCCUUUUAAAAAUCGUCUCCCUGAUUCUCCAGUUUCUCCCAACUUUGCUUAUCUCUCCUGUCUCCCGUUUUCCCCAAGUCAGAUUUAGUGACUUGUCGCUCCCAUAAUUGUGGUAUUUGUUAAGCACUUACUAUGUGCCAAGCACUAUACUAAGCACUGGGGUUGAUACAAGAUAAUCAGGUCCCAUAUGGGGCUCACAGUCUAAAUAGGAGGGAGAACGGGCAUGGAAUCCCCAUUUUGCAUAUGAGGGAACUGAGACUCAGAGAAGUUAAGUGACUUGCCCAAGGUCACACAGCAGACAAGUGGCAGAGCCAGGACUAAUUGCUUCUCCCAUCUUCAUCUCUGGAUGCAAAUAUUAAUUCAUUCAAUUGUAUUUAUUGAGCGCGUACUAUCUGCAGAGCACUGCACUAAGCGCUUGAAAUGUACAAUUCGGCAGCAGAUAGAGACAAUCCCUGCCCAGUAAUGGACUCACAGUCUAAAUGUAUGUUGUGGGCAGGGAAUGCCACUGUUUGUUAGAGAAGCAGCGUAGCUCAGUGGAAAGAGCCUGGGAUCCGGAGUCAGAGGUCAUGGGUUCGAGUUCUGGCUCUGCCACUUGUCAGCUGUGUGACUGUGGGCAAGUCACUUAACUUCUCUGUGCCUCAGUUACCUCAUCUGUAAAAUGGAGAGUAACUGUGAGCCUCACGUGGGACAACCUGAUGACCCUGUAUCUACCCCAGUACUGUUCUAAGAACAGUGCUCUGCACAUAGUAAGCGCUUAACAAAUACCAACAUUAUUAUUAUACUUUCCCAAGCACCUAGUACAGUGCUCUGCACACAGUAAGCGCUUAAUAAAUACGACUGAAUGAAUGAAUAUUGCAUUUUCUUAUUCUUUUUUCAACACUCGCCUCUCUCUACCGCUUACGUCAAUGACGAGCUCGGCCGCUCGUCAGCUGUGUGACGUUGGGCAAGUCACUUAACUUCUAGGUGCCUCAGUUACCUCAUCUGUAAAAUGAGGAUUAAGACUGAGCCCUACGUGGGACAACCUAAUUCCCCUGUGUCUACCUCAGCGCUUAGAAUGGUGCUCGGCACAUAGUAAGCACUUAACAAAUGCCAACAUUAUUAUUAUUAUUAUUGUCAAUCUCUGUCUCCUCCUUCCUCUACUUUCUCUUUUUGCCCCGCUUUUCCCCAUCUUCUUCCUCUUUCUUUAUCUUCUUAUGCCCCCUCACAUUUCUCCUGUCUUUCUCCAAUCUAGCCUGAACUGUGGACGAGAAUGUUGGGGAGGAUCUCAAGCUGGUGCCAUUGAACUAGUGAGUAUCCAAACUGGGGAUGGUGGAGGGAGGGUUCAAACUAUGUGGGAGGGCUAGAGGGUGGCUCCGAUUGUAAAGGAAAAGCGUGAAGAGGGGCCACGUCGGCUUGGGGAGGCCCAGGUGAAAGGAAGAGAGGACCACCGUGGUCUGGCUUUGGCUAACCAUAGUGUUGCUAACAUCGUGCCUUCAGUCAGUCAGUGGUGUUUAUUGAGCCGCUUGUACUAAGUGCUUAGGAGGGUUCAAUACAAUAGAGUCGGUAGACCCUACCCACAAUCUAGUGGAAGAGACAGACGUUAAAUUAUGGCUCAGGUGAGCAGCAGAGUACUUGUCAGCUGUGUGACUGUGGGCAAGUCACUUAACUUCUCUGUGCCUCAGUUCCCUCAUCUGUAAAAUGGGGAUUAAGACUGUGAGCCCCACGUGGGACAACCUGAUUCCCCUGUGUUUACCCCAGCGCUUAGAACAGUGCUCUGCACAUAGUAAGCGCUUAACAAAUACCAACAUUAUUAUUAUUAUUAUAAAGAUAUGGACAUAAGGGUGGGGUGUCAAGCCAUGCCUGGCUUAUAACACUGACUGCCAAGGAGUCAAAGGGUCAAGGCUGAGGAAUAGUGGGGUCUGAACCUUGUCUUCUCAGAGCUCUCAAUGGCAACAAGGCGUGGUUAGGGAGAGGCAGGAAGAGGGUGCUGAGGAGAGUGAGUAGAGGGAGGUGGUGAUGGCGGAGUGGGGGUGUGUGUAUGUGAUGGGGAGAGGCACAUUUCCUCAUUGGCUGGGGUCUUUAGUCUCCAUCUAGUUGCCAUGGAAGAAGGAAGGUUGGAAGAGUUUGUGGUUGGAGAGAGGGCCAGAUGAACGGAUGGACAAGCAGUAAGGAAAUUAUAGCAAAUUACGUCUAAGCCUUAAUGCACAUUACUCUAUAGAGCACUGUAUUUUAGAUGAUUGUAUUUUGAUUUGCCUCCUCGUAAGUUUUCUCAGUACCAGAAGAAAGGUAAAUUUAUGGAAUAGAAAACAGACAUUCAUUCAUUCAAACAUAUUUAUUGAGCGCCUACUGUGUGCAGAGCACUGUACUAAGCGCUGUAGCCUACAAUGUUUGUUUAUAAUACCUUUGUUUAAAAGUUUUUGUUUGCUUUUCAGGACAUUCUU